AACGAACGCUGGCGGCAUGCCUAACACAUGCAAGUCGAACGAGACCUUCGGGUCUAGUGGCGCACGGGUGCGUAACGCGUGGGAACCUGCCCUUAGGUUCGGAAUAACUCCCCGAAAGGGGUGCUAAUACCGGAUAAUGUCUUCGGACCAAAGAUUUAUCGCCUUAGGAUGGGCCCGCGUUGGAUUAGCUAGUUGGUAGGGUAAUAGCCUACCAAGGCGACGAUCCAUAGCUGGUCUGAGAGGAUGAUCAGCCACACUGGGACUGAGACACGGCCCAGACUCCUACGGGAGGCAGCAGUGGGGAAUAUUGGACAAUGGGCGAAAGCCUGAUCCAGCAAUGCCGCGUGAGUGAUGAAGGCCUUAGGGUUGUAAAGCUCUUUUACCCGGGACGAUAAUGACAGUAGUGGGAGAAUAAGCUCCGGCUAACUCCGUG
Molecule: ribosomal RNA, 433 nt
Filed under: uncultured bacterium
Lineage: Bacteria
Description: partial 16S ribosomal RNA
Rfam family: Bacterial small subunit ribosomal RNA
Source: RNAcentral